Molecule: long non-coding RNA, 802 nt
Organism: Camelus dromedarius (Arabian camel)
Lineage: Eukaryota; Metazoa; Chordata; Mammalia; Artiodactyla; Camelidae
Exons: 3
Source: RefSeq, a predicted model, not a curated record
GUCAGAAUGGCCAAAGCAAAGGCCUUACCAGAUGUGAAGAUGACAUAGAUAGGCCUGGGUCACAGGUAAGACCAAAUCACAGAGGGCCUUGAGUGCUGUGCUAAAGAGUUGGAACUUUAUCUCACAGGCAAUAGGAGCUUUAAGCAGAUGAACACCUCAAUCAGAUUGCUCCCUGAGUGGUAUAUGAAUGAACCGAAAGGGGUAGAAGCUCAAGGCAGGAGUCCACUUAGGAGGCUACAGUGGAAAUGUGAGCAAGCAGUGAUUCAGCAGCUCAGGGAACCUUUCCAGGACCCACUUUCCACCUACCCCCUUGAGGCUCCUGGGCCCUCCUGCCAAGCUGGCCUUCACUCAGCUGCCGAUUUCAGUCCAGCCACCUGGAAUGGAACAUGGCCAGGUUUCCUGACUUUGAUGCCAGCAUCAGCAUCUCUUCACAUCCCUGCAGAAGAAUCCACCUGGACCUGGGGACCAAAGUAGAGGCAAGGGAGGUGGAAGAGAAGGGUUCACUCUUCUCCCCCAGUGAUGGUCUCCAUUGCCAUAGUGACACGUUCAAGGGCAAGUUUGUGACCUAAGAUGAUCCCACUCAGAGCCAAGUUUAGGAUGGCUGUUUAAUAACUGUGGAAAAGCAAGUAUGUAGUCUUGUUGCUGCUGCAAGCCAUUUUGCUGCCAUAAAUGGCCAACCAGGCCAAAGACAAAAACUAACAUUUGGAGGAAGGCAGAACCAAGAGAAUCACAGAGAAAUGGAGCCAGCGUCCUGAACAUACCAUGCCCAGAGGUCAUCUUCUCUGUGUACUUUUCAGUUACA